AGAUUGAACGCCGGCGGCAGGCCUAACACAUGCAAGUCGAGCGGUAGAGAGGUGCUUGCACCUCUUGAGAGCGGCGGACGGGUGAGUAAUGCCUAGGAAUCUGCCUAGUGGUGGGGGAUAACGUUCGGAAACGGACGCUAAUACCGCAUACGUCCUACGGGAGAAAGCGGGGGACCUUCGGGCCUCGCGCCAUUAGAUGAGCCUAGGUCGGAUUAGCUAGUUGGUGAGGUAAUGGCCACAACGGACGACGAUACCG
RNAcentral lists this ribosomal RNA (256 nucleotides) under uncultured soil bacterium. RNAcentral describes it as "partial 16S ribosomal RNA". It matches the Rfam family "Bacterial small subunit ribosomal RNA", at positions 26 to 283 of the family's 1533-position model. The record is from RNAcentral.